Long non-coding RNA from Aricia agestis (brown argus), 444 nucleotides. RefSeq lists it as uncharacterized. The transcript is spliced from 3 exons. The record is from RefSeq and is a predicted model, not a curated record. NCBI's taxonomy places the organism in Eukaryota, Metazoa, Arthropoda, Insecta, Lepidoptera, Lycaenidae.
UAUAGCGCGAUCGAAAAAUCUUGGUUCUUUGGUAAGAAAAAUAUUUUAUUUUGUUGAACUAAUGGGAAACAAAAUGAAGAUGUUUUUAGCAAAGAAAAGAAAACGCAAAAAUGUAGAAAAUUUGGAAAGUUUGGAAAAGGCAAGAGAGGCUAAAAUGCAAUAUAAAAGUAAAUCAACUGAAGAAACAAUAACGGAAAAAGAUGAAUGUGAAAACCAACACGCAGAAAAGGUACCUUUCGUAUUUGAAUAGCAGUAUUUUGACCGACUUCCGAAGUUUAGUACAGUUAAUAGAAUAAUAUGUGCUAGUUUCAUGCCUAAAUCAUAUCUAUCUGCAAAGCUGAAAGCUAUAAGAAAACCUGAAAGUUUGCCUGUUUGUGACCUCUACAGAGAAAAGAACGACCAACAACUAUGGAGUUUUGGCCGCGAUUACUUAAGGAGGUAUCC